CAAGGAAUCCAGGGCUACUCGGGAUUAAGUGACUUGCCCAAGGCCAUGAGGUCACAGUGAUGCAGUCCAGCACUCUUCCUAUGGCACCCCAGUGUCUCUCAAUAUGGCUGUGCUGUCCGCACAGACGGGCUGAUCCCACCACCCUCCCCAGUUUCUAUCCCUGCUUCUAAAACCUGCAACUUGUCCUGUAAGCCAUCUUAGCACCUGCCUCUGGCUUCUAAGCAAACUUCAGGGCUAGGCUGUCCAUCCCAUCAUAGAUCCUUCUGUCAGUUAAAUCCUAAGUCAUUAAACAAGCAUUUUCCCCUGAGCCUAUAUGUGGUUAUAGCAACUUAAGUAAAAAAUACAUUUGUUCAUGGUGGAAAAGUGGUAUAACCAUAAGACAUAUGUAAUUUGUUGGGAAACAGCCUCUCUAUUCUUACUUUCAAAUGUCACAGUGAAUACUUGAAACUAAACUAUGCCGCUGGAAAGCUGGAGUUAAGAAUUUACUUGGAAACCUUAAACAUGGGUAAUUUUGGUUAGUAGCCAUUCUGUGACUUUGCUUAGACAUGACAGGUUAAGGGCUGUAGGGCCCAAGGCAGAGUUGACAGACACAAGCCCUCUCUCACCUCCUCAUCUGCAUAGGAAGGAUAAAUCCCUGUCCUGUAGGCUCCCAAUGGUCCUGCCCACAGGGUAAUUGCAGAGAAGAUAUUCUCUGAUGAGAUCAACCCAUGCAAGGCAGAACUACCAAUAUCUGUACUGCCAGAGAGACUCCCCUUAUUCCACAGUGAAUCUGAGCAGUACUAGACUCUCUCUUUACCUCUGACCAAAUACAGAUUGCAGUUCAAUUUGGAUCUGGAAAAACUGGUGGUGUAGUGGAAAGAACAAGUCUGUGGAGAUCCUGAGUUUCAACCCUGGUUAAUAAAUUCUACUAAACAUAUUUGGUUAGUGAUCUCGGGCAAAUUACUUAACUUCUUUGGGUCUCAGUCUCCACAUUAAUGCUGCUGCAGCGAGGGGCGAUGAUUCUGAAGCUUCAUAUCUUCAGAACGGUAGAUGCUAAGCACUGAAUGGUGCCUUUCAUGAACAUGGCUUUACCUUGGCUUCAAAACAACCCUAUGAGUCCCCAGGUGUGGUUUCGAGAAGAGGCUUCAGGAAGGGAAAGCUGACCAGGGAGAUGGUUUCUGAAAGGAUGUGUCUUUCUGGACCAGAGGAAACAAGCCACAAGCUGGGUGGAAGACAAGCCAUACGCCUGCUGUAGAAAUAUUCCUGCUCCAUGUUUCCUUUUUGCCCUCUGGACUGAGUCCUUUUGACGAAAGAACACUCAGAACCUGCUGAGCUUUGGGCUGGCACUGGGAUUCACUCACUCUCAGCUGUUAUCCUGGCUGGAAUGCAUUGGAGCCAACACGGCUCACUGCAGCCUCAACUUCCCAGGCUCAAGUGAUCCUCUCACCUCAAUCUCCCGAGUAGCUGGGACCACAGGUGUGUGCCACCAUGGCUGGCUAAUUUUUUUAUGUUUAGUAGAGAUGAGGUCUUGUUAUGUUGCCCAGGUUGGUCUCAAACUCCUGGCCUCAAGUGAUCCCCCUGUUUUGGCCUCCCAAAGUACUGGGAUUAGAGGCAUGAGCCCUCAUGUCCGGCCUGUGACCACCUCUUAGGCAGACAUUGGGCAUGUUCUACAGACUCUUGGAGCCUCCCUUUAUUUAUAAAUAAUAACAGCUAUUACUUUUUAUGGCACUUUGACCACAUACCAGACAACACAUUAAGUAUUUAUCUCAUCUAACUCUUAAAUGAACUCACAAGAUACCCAAUUUAUAUAUGGGCAAACAGAGGCCACAGAGGUUAGGGGACGUGCCUAAGGCCACACAGGAAGUGAGGGUAGAGCCAGGAUUUAAAAUCUGUCUGGCUCCGUGUAGGGAGACAGCCUCUCAGAUAUUUUCUAGCUCAGAUGUUCUAUUAUUCUAAUAACAACUCUCAUACAUCAACAGCAUUUUGUAGUUUUCAAAGGUUAUUUCAGAGUGGCUAAGAACCACCCCUUGAGUUGGCCAGCCUGGGUUCCAAUCAGCCUUUGACAUUUACUGUGAGACCUGGAAGAGGUCACUUAACCUGUCCAAGACUGUGUUCCCUCAUGCCUACAACUGGGAUAAUGACAGCAUCUAUAUAGGGCUCUUGUGAGAAUUACCUAAGGUGAUAUCCUUUAAAGCCUGUGGCACAUAGUAAGUGCUCAUGAAAGCUUUCCUUUCCUACUAGUUUCUCAUUUUAUCUGGUUUCCUUUUCUAUGCCUCUCCUCUGGCUGCUCUGUAAAACACCAUUCUCGCACCUGUAACAGUGGUUUUCACAUGAUGGUCUGUUUAGCCUAGGGCUCCCUGGGGGCCAGUGAAGGAAGACUGAAGAGGCUGGGCUUUGAGGACCCUACUGGUUCCAUCACAGGUCACAGAGCAGACCUGCUUUCAUCUGUUCUGUAUUUUGGAAUUCUGCAAAUGAUUUUAUUAAAAAGAAGGGUUUCCUACUUAAAUAUCCUACUUGAGGAACUGUAUAGACAAAAAUGAAGGAAACGUGUACAUGCUAAAACGCAACCCUAAAAUGUAUACGUUCUCCUUUUCUUAUGCUAUCAUCCCACCAUACCCUCCAAAGACAAAGCCUCGGAUGCACAGCAGUGGUUCCGGUUGGGUCUUCACCUCCUCUCCUCUGGAACAGCGUGUGCAUCAAAACAGUGAGAGCCCACAGCGCCUCCUUGUGGACUAUCUGAUAAACUGGAACCAGUUCUCGCAGGGCUGAAGGACGGUGGUCACCUAGAGGCAUUGCCCAGGAUCUGCACUGCGCUGUCCACCCAGGAAUUACUCUGUUUUCUUCUACUUUUAAAUAAAUUUGGGAGAUGGGCUGGGUGUGGUGGCUCACACCUGUAAUUUCAGCGUUUUGGAAGACCGAGGCGGGAGGACGGCGUGGGACCAGGAGUUCAUGACUGGCCUGGGCAACACAGUGAGACCCUGUCUCUAUUUUAAACAACGACAACAACAUAUUUAAAAAAUAAAAAUAAGAAAAUAAAUUUGGAAGAUGAACACAUUCUAUUUUAAUUCUGUUAGUGAUCAGUAAAACUGGCUUAAAAGCUGAGUUUCCUUUGGUUCCCUUUUGUUUUAUAAAAAAUGUCUGUGUGUACCUUUGUCAACAGCCUGAAUCCUAUGAAUCACAGGUUCCCCUGGGGAAGAUGGGGGUUUGAGUUUGGUUUCUUACUUGUGUUUAUAGGGUUCUGGGCAACUUGGGAGGGCGAGACACUAUGCCCUCAUGGGAUAACACUAAUU
This 3269-nucleotide long non-coding RNA is filed under the name Homo sapiens (human). Its description in RNAcentral is "HSALNT0153854". Lineage: Eukaryota; Metazoa; Chordata; Mammalia; Primates; Hominidae. The record is from RNAcentral.